UACAGAGGUCUCAAGCGUUGUUCGGAUUCAUUGGGCGUAAAGGGUGCGUAGGCGGUGCUGUAAGUCGGGUGUGAAAUUUCGGAGCUUAACUCCGAAACUGCAUUCGAUACUGCGGUGCUUGAGGACUGGAGAGGAGACUGGAAUUCAUGGUGUAGCAGUGAAAUGCGUAGAGAUCAUGAGGAAGACCAGUGGCGAAGGCGGGUCUCUGGACAGUUCCUGACACUGAGGCACGAAGGCCAGGGGAGCAAACGGG
Molecule: ribosomal RNA, 253 nt
Filed under: uncultured bacterium
Lineage: Bacteria
Description: partial 16S ribosomal RNA
Rfam family: Bacterial small subunit ribosomal RNA
Source: RNAcentral